Molecule: ribosomal RNA, 1638 nt
Filed under: Kiritimatiellia bacterium
Lineage: Bacteria; Pseudomonadati; Kiritimatiellota; Kiritimatiellia
Description: Kiritimatiellae bacterium (gut metagenome) partial 23S ribosomal RNA
Rfam family: Bacterial large subunit ribosomal RNA
Source: RNAcentral
UGCUAAGCGUAUACGGGCGCACGACGGAUGCCUUGGCAUCAGGAGGCGAUGAAGGACGCGGAAGACUGCGAUAAGCUUCGGGGAGCUGUCAACAAGCAUUGAUCCGGAGAUUUCCGAAUGGGGCAACCCAUCACCUUUCAUAGGGUGAUAUCGUUGGAUGAAUCAAAUAGUCCAACGAAGCGACACGUGGGGAAGUGAAACAUCUCAGUACCUACAGGAAAAGAAAUCAACCGAUAUUGCGUAAGUAGUGGCGAGCGAAAGCGCAGGAGCCUAAACCAGAGAGCUUGCUUUCUGGGGUUGCGGGACCAGGUCGUGGUAUCAAGAAGGUUAGGCGAAGCAGCUGGAAAGCUGCGCCAUAGUGGGUGAUAGCCCUUUAACCGAAAACCUCUCUUGGACCUACUGGGAUCCCAAUUAGGGCGGAGCACGUGAAACUCCGUCUGAAUCCGGGGGGACCACCCUCCAAGGCUAAAUACUCCCUGAUGACCGAUAGGGAACUAGUACCGCGAGGGAACGGCGAAAAGAACCGCUGUUAGCGGAGUGAAACAGACCUGAAAUCGUGCGUCCACAAGCUAUGGAAGCGUCCUUCGGGACGCGACCGUUUGCCUUUUGCAUAAUGAGUCCGCGAGUCACCGUGGCGAGCGAGCAUAACCGAAAGGGGAUGCGAAGCGAAAGCGAGUUCGAACAGGGCGAUCCUAGUUCGUCGCGGUGGACCCGAAGCCCAUGCGAGCUAUCCUUGGACAGCGUGAAGCCCCUGUAACAGGGGGUGGAGGUGCGAACGAGUGACCGUUGAAAAGGUCUUCGAGGAGCUGAGGAUAGGAGCGAAAGACUUAUCAAGCUGGGUAAUAGCUGGUUCUCUCCGAAAUGCCUUUAGGGGCAGCGUCGGGCAAUACUUCCAGCGGGUGUAGAGCACUGAUCGAUCUAGGGCCCCUACCGGGGUACCGAAGUCCGUCAAACUCCGAAGACCGCUGCGAUUGCAUACCCGGCAGUGAGACAGUGGGGGCUAAGCUUCAUUGUCGAAAGGGAAACAGCCCAAGACCGCCGAAUAAGGUCCCAAAUCGACGUUAAGUCACUAAGGCAGUGAGGUCUCUCAGACAGGUAGGAUGUUGGCUUAGAGGCAGCCAUCAUUUAAACAGUGCGUAACAGCUGACUACUCGAGAGACCCCGCGCCGAAAAUGAUCGGGAGUCAAACGUCGAACCGAAUUCGCGGGCCGUGACUUUGUCACGACGGUAGGAGAGCGUAGUACGCAGCGUCGAAGCGGUGCGCGGAAGCGGCCGUGGAGCGCGUACUAGUGAUUAUGCGGACAUGAGUAACGAAAAACCGGGUGGAAAUCCCGGUCGCCGGAAUCCCAAGGUUUCCCGGGGCAGGUUCGUCCGCCCGGGGUCAGUCGGCACCUAAGGUGAGGCCGAAAGGCGUAAUCGAUGGACAGCAGGUUAAUAUUCCUGCACUGGCGGGGGUUUAAGUUUGGCUUGGAGAAGGACAGUGACGGGGGUUAAUGGCUAUCCCCUGUACGUGCCGGAAGGUACGGACUGAGCGUCGGGUUCGCCCGGUGCAAGGCCAUGCGUCCAUGCUUCCCAGAAAAGGCCUUAUGUAUUAACCCGUCAGCCGUACCAAAACCGACACAGGUGGGAGGGUACAAA